This 458-nucleotide ribosomal RNA is filed under the name uncultured bacterium. RNAcentral's name for it is "partial 16S ribosomal RNA". It matches the Rfam family "Bacterial small subunit ribosomal RNA", at positions 338 to 795 of the family's 1533-position model. The record is from RNAcentral.
CCUACGGGCGGCAGCAGUGAGGAAUAUUGGUCAAUGGGCGAGAGCCUGAACCAGCCAAGUCGCGUGAGGGAGUACUGCCCUAUGGGUUGUAAACCUCUUUUGUCGGGGAGCAAAAGCCGGACGUGUCCGGCUGUGAGAGUACCCGAAGAAAAAGCAUCGGCCAACCCCGUGCCAGCAGCCGCGGUAAUCCGGAGGAUGCGAGCGUUAUCCGGAUUUAUUGGGUUUAAAGGGUGCGCAGGCGGACUUUUAAGUCAGCGGUAAAAUCGUGGGGCUCAACCCCAUCCAGCCGUUGAAACUGGGGAUCUAGAGUGUGCGAGAGGUAUGCGGAAUGCGUGGUGUAGCGGUGAAAUGCAUAGAUAUCACGCAGAACCCCGAUUGCGAAGGCAGCAUACCGGUGCAAAACUGACGCUCAGGCACGAAAGCGUGGGUAUCGAACAGGAUUAGAUACCCGAGUAGUC